RNAcentral lists this ribosomal RNA (273 nucleotides) under uncultured bacterium. Its description in RNAcentral is "partial 16S ribosomal RNA". It matches the Rfam family "Bacterial small subunit ribosomal RNA", at positions 897 to 1172 of the family's 1533-position model. The record is from RNAcentral.
AAACUCAAAGGAAUUGACGGGGGCCCGCACAAACGGCGGAGCAUGCUGAUUAAUUCGAUGCAACGCGAAGAACCUUACCAAGGCUUGACAUGCACCGGACGACUCCAGAGAUGGGGUUUUCUUCGGACUGGUGCACAGGUGGUGCAUGGUUGUCGUCAGCUCGUGUCGUGAGAUGUUGGGUUAAGUCCCGCAACGAGCGCAACCCCCGUUCUAUGUUGCCAGCACGUCAUGGUGGGGACUCAUAGGAGACUGCCGGGGUCAACUCGGAGGAAG